This 434-nucleotide long non-coding RNA is filed under the name Apteryx owenii (little spotted kiwi). Its description in RNAcentral is "lncRNA (ENSAOWG00000007837.1)". Lineage: Eukaryota; Metazoa; Chordata; Aves; Apterygiformes; Apterygidae. The record is from RNAcentral.
GCAAAAACAGCCGUAAAGCCCAGCCGCAGUAAUGCCGCUGGUGCUGCCUCAGGCCCUGCUGCCGUCCCCGUGGAGCCUCGGCUUUCCUCUCUCCCCACGUCGCACCGUGGCAGGUGGCUGCGGGGCGAAGUGUGCGCCGCGGCUCGGAAAAGCGGUGGGCUUGGCCACGGAGUGCCACGACAGCUGCGGACGUCCUGGUGUCACAAUGAGGCGCGCAGGCGAAGCCGACAAGAAGAGCCGGGCCCUGAGCAGAGGCGCCAUCGCCUGGCAAAGUCCGCUAGGUGUAAUGCUGGGCAAGCGGCAGGAAGGCAGGAGGCAGCCGACAGGGAGAUAUUGCCACAGAUCUACUGAUGCUCUUCAUCAGCCAGAACCUUUCUCCGAAGCGUCAACAUCUGGUCUCUGAUGAUGCUUCAGGAAGACACUCCGCACUUUCA